Molecule: ribosomal RNA, 418 nt
Filed under: uncultured soil bacterium
Lineage: Bacteria
Description: bacterial SSU rRNA
Rfam family: Bacterial small subunit ribosomal RNA
Source: RNAcentral
AGAACGAACGCUGGCGGCAUGCCUAACACAUGCAAGUCGAACGAGACCUUCGGGUCUAGUGGCGCACGGGUGCGUAACGCGUGGGAAUCUGCCCUUGGGUUCGGAAUAACAGUUAGAAAUGACUGCUAAUACCGGAUGAUGACGAAAGUCCAAAGAUUUAUCGCCCAGGGAUGAGCCCGCGUAGGAUUAGCUAGUUGGUGAGGUAAAGGCUCACCAAGGCGACGAUCCUUAGCUGGUCUGAGAGGAUGAUCAGCCACGCUGGGACUGAGACACGGCCCAGACCGUACCGUACGGGAGGCCAGGCGAGGUAGGGGAAUUAGUUAGGACAAAGUGGGACGAAAGCCUAGAUCCAGUCAAUCGCCGCGGUGAGUGAACGGAAGGUCGUUAGGUUAGUAAGCUUCGUUUACCGGGAUGAUAA